CCUACGGGAGGCUGCAGUGAGGAAUAUUGGUCAAUGGACGAGAGUCUGAACCAGCCAAGUAGCGUGAAGGAUGACUGCCCUAUGGGUUGUAAACUUCUUUUAUAUGGGAAUAAAAUGUUCCACGUGUGGGAUUUUGUAUGUACCAUAUGAAUAAGGAUCGGCUAACUCCGUGCCAGCAGCCGCGGUAAUACGGAGGGUCCGAGCGUUAUCCGGAUUUAUUGGGUUUAAAGGGAGCGUAGGUGGAUUGUUAAGUCAGUUGUGAAAGGUUGCGGCUCAACCGUAAAAUUGCAGUUGAAACUGGCAGUCUUGAGUACAGUAGAGGUGGGCGGAAGUCGUGGUGUAGCGGUGAAAUGCUUAGAUAUCACGAAGAACUCCGAUUGCGAAGGCAGCUCACUGGACUGCAACUGACACUGAGGCUCGAAAGUGUGGGUAUCAAACAGGAUUAGAUACCCCAGUAGUC
RNAcentral lists this ribosomal RNA (460 nucleotides) under uncultured bacterium. RNAcentral describes it as "partial 16S ribosomal RNA". It matches the Rfam family "Bacterial small subunit ribosomal RNA", at positions 338 to 795 of the family's 1533-position model. The record is from RNAcentral.